UCCCUAGUGGCUCAGUGGUAAAGAAUCUGCCUGCAAUGCAGGAGAGCCAGGUUCAAUCCCUGGCUUGGGAA
RNAcentral lists this transfer RNA (71 nucleotides) under Ovis aries (sheep). It matches the Rfam family "tRNA". Rfam says of the family: Transfer RNA (tRNA) molecules are approximately 80 nucleotides in length. Their secondary structure includes four short double-helical elements and three loops (D, anti-codon, and T loops). The record is from Rfam by way of RNAcentral. Lineage: Eukaryota; Metazoa; Chordata; Mammalia; Artiodactyla; Bovidae.